AAAAAAAGACAUCUUUCCAUGGGUAGACAUCGUUCCUUGGGUGAAAGGUAAUUCCGUAAAAGGAAACUGGCAUAAGAGCCCUGUUUUGAUUCUGAUGGUCAAUUCCUCUCUCCUCCUUAAGAACCAAGCAAAUCUUGAUUCUACUAUCCUACUAUCCCCAGUCAUUGAUUGGUUUAAGAGUGUGUCUGUGAUCCAAUAUCCGAUGCUCUGACAUGAGGAGAAAUCUGGAGAGCCUUCUUGUAAUGGUUUCUUUACUCUUAAAAAGGACAUUGUGGAAUUAGGGGAUGAUUGCUGGUGCUGUGGUAUCACCGUUUAAUCUCUUCUUGAAACUGGGAGAGGGACAAAGCCAACAAGUUGAUGAUGGCAGAGAGGAAAGUGGAGGAAAACCUUGGGUGCUUUUUUGAGUUCUUGAAUUUGCCAACUGGAAGCACCUUCUUCAGAAUUCCUGUUAGGAACCUCAGAAGAGCCUAAAAAAUUAAAAAGAACCUCAAUAUGAGUUUUGGCCUGCCUGAAUCUAGUGAACAAAAUGGAUUUCCAGUGGUAGAAACUUUGAUUAAAAAUAAAACUCCAUGCUUUAUGUUCUUGAAUAAACCCCUGUCACACUGGCUAUGACAGUGUCCACA
Molecule: long non-coding RNA, 623 nt
Organism: Hyaena hyaena (striped hyena)
Lineage: Eukaryota; Metazoa; Chordata; Mammalia; Carnivora; Hyaenidae
Exons: 3
Source: RefSeq, a predicted model, not a curated record